GUGCCAGCCGCCGCGGUAAUACGUAGGGUCCAAGCGUUAAUCGGAAUUACUGGGCGUAAAGCGUCCGCAGGUGGUUUGUUAAGCACGAUGUGAAAUCCCCGAGCUCAACUUGGGAAUUGCAUUGUGAACUGGCUAACUAGAGUAUGGCAGAGGGGGGUGGAAUUCCGCGUGUAGCAGUGAAAUGCGUAGAGAUGCGGAGGAACACCGAUGGCGAAGGCAACCCCCUGGGCUAAUACUGACACUCAUGGACGAAAGCGUGGGGAGCAAACAGGAUUAGAUACCCGGGUAGUCC
RNAcentral lists this ribosomal RNA (292 nucleotides) under uncultured bacterium. RNAcentral's name for it is "partial 16S ribosomal RNA". It matches the Rfam family "Bacterial small subunit ribosomal RNA", at positions 505 to 796 of the family's 1533-position model. The record is from RNAcentral.